CUGGCCGAAAUCGCGUUGGAAAAAAAAAAGCUGAGAGUGGAUUAGGGUGGGGUGAACGUGCCAGCGGCGGCCCUCAGAAGAAAGAGGAGCAGCGGGGGCCCUAAGUGGUAGCGAGGGAGAGGAACGGCGCGCCGGCUGGAGGUGGAGGGGCGGCGGCGAGGGAUGAUCUGUUCCGUCCACGCCGAACGGACCGGGGGUUUAGGCCGGCGUUGGACAGGCCUAACUAGGAGAGUUCGCCUGCCUGCGGCCCUCUAGUCGGCGACAGGACCACCAGAGGAGGCGGCCAUGCUAAGCGUCUUUGAAGUCUUAGGUUCGAUCAGAGCCGGGUUUAGACAGGUCUAACUGGGACGACUGCGGCCUUCUGGUUGGUUAGCUGGAGUGGGAUCGGCGCCGGGAGCAGCGGAGGACACGGUCGCUUCGAGCGUUCGUUUCGGCGCUGGUCGUCGUGCAGGUGCCGCCCCGUGCCCCUCAGACUGACAGACUCAGCAGUCCACGGAGGAGGUAAUCCGCAGUCGGAUCGGGGACAUAGUCGGCACGAUUAAGUCACGUAGGCUGAAGUCUUUGCAAGGUAGAAGUUCCGAGUUCGUUUCUUGUUCGAAGUCGACGCCGGUGAGAGGUACCUUUUACGGACGUUCUUGGAGUUGGUUCAGCAUGCGAGCCACGCCGACGAGUUCUAGCUGCCCAAAUCGAACUGGGACUCGGACUCGAGACUUAUAGCGAAGUGUAGGUCUACCUUACAGCUACCCAUACUAAACCUUCAACCAUAGAUAGGACGUCGGUUGGGGAAUAUAGGUCUACCGUUGUUCAAACACAGACACUCUGAUUACAAAGAGUCAUUUCGGGCGUGUCUCACACCACACGGUCACUCGGAUCGGACAGUCGACCAUCUAGCGUCACCCCUCGAACUUGGUAAAUUUCUCCUGUCACACAGCCUCUGGAAGAAACGUGGGGUGAUGAAGUUUCUUGAGAAUAACCACUUAUCCUUCAGGUAUGGUAGACGAAUAGAGGCCCUACUAAGAGACUGGGACGCUACGCGGUAGUGUUACGAGUUCCUUAAUGGUCAUGUUUGGUAGGGUCGACUUCUCCACUAGCGACAUGGUAGGUGGUUAAACGUGGUCGUGGAGCCGCUCGAGGACCUCUCGCUCUGCCCUCGGCUACAGUGGAAAGAGCACACGCUACUCAGCAAACGACGUGUGUUCCUGUAUGAACGGCGUUCCAGAGGCCAAAAGUUCCGGGUCAAGAAACCUCUGUACUUCCUCUUCACGAGCGUUGCACACCUCCACUUCCUGUACCUCCACCGACGUAAGUCCCGGUACGACGUGAAGUAGAUGUGGCUGUGCCACGGGCUCGAACUAGUUGGCGAGCUCAACCACCGCUGCGAGCGAGUCGUAGACGAACGCCGACGACUGACCAUGCCAGAGCUAUCCGAGUUCGACUAAACACUUUACUUCGAGAGACCACCGUAGUGGCAGCUGUGACGUCGUUGUUGAGAACGAAACCGCCUCGUCGUGUUAACGAGCUUCGAGUUCCGGUUUACACAGCUCAAGUAGCAGUCGUGAGGACGUCAAGAACUACUACACAACCGCUGCCUCCCCAUAUCCGUGGACCUCCGUUCGACGGGAAGCCAGGACUGACUCGAAGAGUUCAGACAGGUACCCUCAUUCACGACUUCACAUCGGUAUAACGAUCUGAAGGUCCUAGACUGUUACGCACAUCAGAGACAAACACGAACACUCUUUACUAAUUACGUAUGAUCUUUGAACACAAAAAAAUCCCUUAAUGAUCUUUGAACACAAACGUAAAUGGAUUAUACCUUUUGAAUACAGUACAAUAAUCGUUGCAUUACGAAAGUAGGCGGAUGUCAUCAACGUUAAAUCACUGAAAGUUACAACAUGUGUUCCAAAAUGUGUCAGGUCCCAAGCACAUAUACGAGCAAUCAGAAAACUUGACUCACACGUUGACACGUAUAUCUAUGUACUAAACUAGUCGACGUCGGUGUGGUUAGGACCACAACCCUUUUGAAAACAUCUGGAAGAGUGUUGUUUUAAUCCCUGUUAUGAUCCUGUUACGAGUGAACCCUCAAGACUAACACAGUCAAUGUUUUAAUUCUACUAGAGAC
RNAcentral lists this ribosomal RNA (2119 nucleotides) under Triticum aestivum (bread wheat). Its description in RNAcentral is "partial small subunit ribosomal RNA". Lineage: Eukaryota; Viridiplantae; Streptophyta; Magnoliopsida; Poales; Poaceae. The record is from RNAcentral.